UUGGAGGGCAGUCUGGUGCCAGCAGCCGCGGUAAUUCCAGCUCCAAUAGCGUAUAUUAAAGUUGUUGCAGUUAAAAAGCUCGUAGUUGAAUUUCGGGAUCAAUAUUUCGGUCAUGCCGUUGGUAUGCACUGUUAUCAUUGAUUUCUCACCUUCUAAAGAACCGUAAUGCCAUUAAUUUGGUGUUACGGGGAAUUAGGACUGCUACCUUGAAAAAAUUAGAGUGUUUAAAGCAGGC
RNAcentral lists this ribosomal RNA (235 nucleotides) under uncultured Glomus. RNAcentral's name for it is "partial 18S ribosomal RNA". It matches the Rfam family "Eukaryotic small subunit ribosomal RNA", at positions 548 to 785 of the family's 1831-position model. The record is from RNAcentral. Lineage: Eukaryota; Fungi; Glomeromycota; Glomeromycetes; Glomerales; Glomeraceae.